This 497-nucleotide ribosomal RNA is filed under the name uncultured bacterium. RNAcentral's name for it is "partial 16S ribosomal RNA". It matches the Rfam family "Bacterial small subunit ribosomal RNA", at positions 28 to 507 of the family's 1533-position model. The record is from RNAcentral.
GAUGAACGCUGGCGGCGUGCCUAAUACAUGCAAGUCGAGCGAACAGACGAGGAGCUUGCUCCUCUGACGUUAGCGGCGGACGGGUGAGUAACACGUGGAUAACCUACCUAUAAGACUGGGAUAACUUCGGGAAACCGGAGCUAAUACCGGAUAAUAUAUUGAACCGCAUGGUUCAAUAGUGAAAGACGGUUUUGCUGUCACUUAUAGAUGGAUCCGCGCCGCAUUAGCUAGUUGGUAAGGUAACGGCUUACCAAGGCACCGAUGCGUAGCCGACCUGAGAGGGUGAUCGGCCACACUGGAACUGAGACACGGUCCUGACUCCUACGGGAGGCAGCAGUAGGGAAUCUUCGGCAAUGGGCGAAAGCUUGACGGAGCAACGCCGCGUGAGUGAUGAAGGUCUUCGGAUCGUAAAACUCUGUUAUUAGGGAAGAACAAAUGUGUAAGUAACUAUGCACGUCUUGACGGUACCUAAUCAGAAAGCCACGGCUAACUACGUG